AAGGAAGCUCUUGAUGAUUUCGAGUCGAGAGAUUCAAGCUCCAUGUUGAGAACAAGCAGCUAUUAUGAGCUACAACUCUCCAAAGUGUAUACGAACGAAAUAUUCAGGAAAUUCCAAGAAGAGGUGGCGAUGAUGACCUCGUGUUUUAGCAUCACACAGAUUCAUGCCAAUGGGUCAGUAGUUACAUAUAUGAUCAAAGAACGUGAGGCUGAGGAGAAUCUGAGCAAUGUUAGAAAUUUGGAGGUAUUGUAUGAUAAAUCAGGAGCAGAAGUUCGGUGCAAUUGUGGUUGUUUUAACUUCAAAGGUUACCUGUGCCGACAUGCGUUGUGCAUUCUGCACUACAAUGGGGUGGAGGAAAUCCCUUACCAAUAUAUUUUGGCAAGAUGGAGGAAGGAUUUUAAGCGGCUAUAUGUACCAGAUCUUGGGUCCAACAAUGUCGAUAUUGCUAACCCAGUUCAGUGGUUUGAUCAUCUGUACAAACGAGCAAUGCAAGUUGUUGAGGAAGGGAUGAUAUCUCAAGAUCAUUAUAUGGUUGCUUGGCAAGCUUUUAAAGAAUCUUUGAAUAAGGUCCGUCUUGUAGCAGACAAGCAUGUACAAAUUGAUCAUUAAUGAAAUCCAAAAUUUUUUUUUAGAAC
This 635-nucleotide unclassified non-coding RNA is filed under the name Hevea brasiliensis (rubber tree). The record is from RNAcentral. Lineage: Eukaryota; Viridiplantae; Streptophyta; Magnoliopsida; Malpighiales; Euphorbiaceae.